AGGGGAGUAGCUCAACUGGUAGAGUAGCGGACUCCAAAUCCGUUGGUUGCGGGUUCAAGUCCUGCCUCCCCUG
Molecule: transfer RNA, 73 nt
Filed under: Halothermothrix orenii H 168
Lineage: Bacteria; Bacillati; Bacillota; Clostridia; Halanaerobiales; Halothermotrichaceae
Rfam family: tRNA
About the family: Transfer RNA (tRNA) molecules are approximately 80 nucleotides in length.
Source: Rfam by way of RNAcentral